UAGUCCACACCGUAAACGAUGAAUACUAGGUGUCGGGGGUCGAACCUCGGUGCCGCAGCUAACGCAUUAAGUAUUCCGCCUGGGGAGUACGCACGCAAGUGUGAAACUCAAAGGAAUUGACGGGGACCCGCACAAGUAGCGGAGCAUGUGGUUUAAUUCGAAGCAACGCGAAGAACCUUACCAAAUCUUGACAUCCUUAUGACCGUCUUUUAAUCGAGAAAUUCCCUUCGGGGACAUAAGAGACAGGUGGUGCAUGGUUGUCGUCAGCUCGUGUCGUGAGAUGUUGGGUUAAGUCCCGCAACGAGCGCAACCCUUAUGUUUAGUUGCCAUCAGUUAGGCUGGGCACUCUAGACAGACUGCCGUGGAUAACACGGAGGAAGGUGGGGAUGACGUCAAAUCAUCAUGCCCCUUAUGAUUUGGGCUACACACGUGCUACAAUGGUCGGUACAACGGGCAGUGAAGGAGUGAUCUGGAGCGAAUCCUAAAAAGCCGAUCUCAGUUCGAUUGUAGG
Molecule: ribosomal RNA, 511 nt
Filed under: uncultured bacterium
Lineage: Bacteria
Description: bacterial SSU rRNA
Rfam family: Bacterial small subunit ribosomal RNA
Source: RNAcentral